UAUUCCAACCCCAACUUUUCCUUCUUUUCGCACGUUUUCCGGAAUUUUUCCAUAUUUUUCAUUUUUUUUCCAUCGUUUUUCAACAUUUCCCCAAUAUUUUCCCACGUUUUUCCAUAUUUUUCCCAUUUUUCCAUCAUUUUUCCAUAUUUUUCCCAUUUUUCCAUCAUUUUUUCCAAUAUUUUUUUCCACAUUUUUCCACAUUUUUCCAUAUUCUCCCACCUUUUCCCAUUUUCCCACAUUUUCCCAUAUUUUUUCCUCAUUUUCCCACAUUUUCCCAUAAUUUUUCCAUAUUCUUUCCGCAAUUUUCCAAUAUUUUUCCAUAUUUUUCCAUCAUUUUUCCACAUUUUUCCCACAUUUUUCCAUAUUCUUUCCACAUUUUCCCAUUUUUCCAAUAUUUUCCCACAUUUUUUCCAUAUUUAUUCCACAUUUUCCCACUUUUUCCACAUUUCCCACAUUUUCCAUAUUUUUCCAUAUUUUUCCAUAUUUUUUCCACAUUUUCCCAAUUUUUUCCCAAUUUUUUUCCCAAUUUUUUUCCCAAUUUUUUCCCAAUUUUUCCACAUUUUUCCCAUCAUUUUUUCCAUCAUUUUUCCCACAUUUUCCCAAUUUUUUCCCAAUUUUUUCCCAAUUUUUUUCCCAAUUUUUUCCCAAUUUUUUCCCAAUUUAUUUCCAAUUUUUUUCCCCAAUUUUUUCCCAAUUUUUUCCCAAUUUUUUUCCCAAUUUUUUCCCAAUUUUUCCACAUUUUUUCCACAUUUUUCCACAUUUUUCCACUUUUUUUUCCCAAUUUUUUUCCCAAUUUUUCCCCAAUUUUUUCCCAAUUUUUCCCCAUUUUCCCAAUUUUUCCCCAUUUUCCCAAAAAAAACCCCUCCAAAAUUCCUCCGUUUUUCCACCAAAACCCUCCCAGAAUUCCCGAUUUUUCCCAGACUUUUCUCCUCCUUUUCCAAGAUUUUUAUAAAAAAUUCCAUUCCCGACCCAAAUUCCUUUUUUUUUUUUCCCGUUUUUUCCUCAUUUUUCCCACCCUCAUUCCCGGUUUUUUUUCCCGCCUCCCUUUUGGAAAAAUCCGGAAUUUUCCCCUCCCCCACCCACCAAAAAAAAAAUCCCGAAAAAAAAAAUGGGAAAAUCCCAAAAAAAAAUUCACCAGGAACGGAAAAUUCUGGAAAAUCCCCCCCAAAAAAUUCCCAAAAAAUCCCCCCAAAAAAUCCCCAAAAAUUCCCCAAAAAUCCCCAAAGAAUUCCCAAAAAAUGCCCCAAAAAUUCCCAAAAAAUUCCCAAAAAAUCCAAAAAAAUUCCAAAAAAAUCCCAAAGAAUUCCUAAAAAAUUCCCAAAAAAUCCCAAAGAAUUCCCAAAAAAUGCCCCAAAAAUUCCCCAAAAAUUCCCAAAAAAUCCAAAAAAAUUCCAAAAAAAUCCCCCCAAAAAUCCCCAAAAAUUCCCAAAAAAUUCCCAAAAAAUCCCCAAAGAAUUCCCAAAAAAUGCCCCAAAAAUUCCCAAAAAAUUCCCAAAAAAUCAAAAAAAAUUCCAAAAAAAUCCCAAAGAAUUCCUAAAAAAUUCCCCAAAAAUCCCCAAAGAAUUCCCAAAAAAUGCCCCAAAAAUUCCCCAAAAAUUCCCAAAAAAUCCAAAAAAAUUCCAAAAAAACCCCCCCAAAAAUCCCCAAAAAUUCCCCAAAAAUUCCCAAAAAAUCCCCAAAGAAUUCCCAAAAAAUGCCCCAAAAAUUCCCCAAAAAUUCCCAAAAAAUCAAAAAAAGUUCCAAAAAAAUCCUCCCGAAAAUCCCCAAAAAUUCCCCAAAGAAUUCCCAAAAAAUCCCAAAAAAUUCCCAAAAUAUUCCCCCAAAAAUCCCAAAGAAUUCCCGGAAAACGACGGCGCCGGGGGCGGAAUUUGGGAUCGGCCAAUCCCAGUUGGGCACUGGGAGCACUGGGAACGCCGGGAAGUGACCGGAACCACGGAAUGCUGGGAAUUCCCCACUUAAUUAAUGAAUUAAUGAAUGAAUUCACCCCUAAUUAAUUACUUAGAGAUCGUUAAUUAGCCACGGGAAGGAGUUGGG
Molecule: long non-coding RNA, 2034 nt
Filed under: Cyanistes caeruleus (blue tit)
Lineage: Eukaryota; Metazoa; Chordata; Aves; Passeriformes; Paridae
Description: lncRNA (ENSCCEG00000017985.1)
Source: RNAcentral